AACCAUCUUCUACCUCCCAAAAACCAUCCAUCCCCCCAAAAUCAUGGCUUCUUCAUUAUUGCUAUCCAUCCUAUCUCCUUUUUGUGUCUUCUUCUUCUUCUCCUCGCUCUUCUUGAUUGGCACCACUUCAUUUCAUGAGGCAAGAGUUUCCACUUCCUCCACUUCUUUUUCCACUAUCCACACGACUAGGAAUAAGGAUGAAGUAGAGGCUCUCUUGAAUUGGAAAUCUACUUU
RNAcentral lists this long non-coding RNA (234 nucleotides) under Eucalyptus grandis. Its description in RNAcentral is "long non-coding RNA (EGRA_LNC005512)". Lineage: Eukaryota; Viridiplantae; Streptophyta; Magnoliopsida; Myrtales; Myrtaceae. The record is from RNAcentral.